Ictalurus punctatus (channel catfish) is the source of this 337-nucleotide long non-coding RNA. Lineage: Eukaryota; Metazoa; Chordata; Actinopteri; Siluriformes; Ictaluridae. The record is from Ensembl.
CUUCAGAGGUCUUGUGGAGUCCAUGCGCAAGUUGGUCAGGACUGUUUUGCGAGCACAAGGGGGACCUACACAACAUCAGAUGUGAGGUUUGGGAUCCACUCACUACCCAGGACUACACCACAUAACUACUACAAGAUUGGACAAGCACCCUGGGACACACUUCACUUCGAAACAUGCUGCAGAUUUUUACAGCCUGAGGGACAGUGAGAGACCAAAUGUCCUGCACAACAUGAGCUCUUUAUUUAGUUAUCUCUAGAUGACAUUUAGUUGUUAUUUCUGUUUGUGUGUUUUCUGAAUGAAUGAUUGAUUGAUUUAAUAUAUUGAUGUGUCAUGGGAU